RNAcentral lists this unclassified non-coding RNA (226 nucleotides) under uncultured fungus. RNAcentral's name for it is "sequence contains ITS1, 5.8S rRNA gene". Lineage: Eukaryota; Fungi. The record is from RNAcentral.
UCUCCUUAGGUGAACCUGCGGAGGGAUCAUUACUGAGUGAGGGUCUCCGGGCCCGACCUCCAACCCUUUUUGAACACAACUUGUUGCUUCGGGGGCGACCCUGCCGUUUCGACGGCGAGCGCCCCCGGAGGACUUCAAACACUGCAUCUUUGCGUCGGAGUUUAAGUAAAUUAAACAAAACUUUCAACAACGGAUCUCUUGGUUCUGGCUUCGAUGAAAACGCAGC